Talpa occidentalis (Iberian mole) is the source of this 102-nucleotide small nuclear RNA. The record is from RefSeq and is a predicted model, not a curated record. Lineage: Eukaryota; Metazoa; Chordata; Mammalia; Eulipotyphla; Talpidae.
UCACUCUUGCAGCACACAGAACAAUACUAGAACAUUACAGAGAAGAUUAGCAUAGCCCUUGUGCAAAGAUGACUCACAGAUUUGUAAAGUUGCCAUAUUUUU